This 222-nucleotide long non-coding RNA is filed under the name Elaeis guineensis (African oil palm). RNAcentral describes it as "long non-coding RNA (EGUI_LNC017721)". Lineage: Eukaryota; Viridiplantae; Streptophyta; Magnoliopsida; Arecales; Arecaceae. The record is from RNAcentral.
CCUCCCUUAAUAGCUAUAUUUAUGGACCGAACUACUUUAGAUCCUCAUCUCCAGCACUCUACUUCAAUGCCAACAGUAUGCCAGUGAAUAUCUAUGAAGCAAAUAAAUACUAUGCCAGACACUUUUUUCUCCUUUCUAGACUUGAGCUUAGCCUCCAACUUCUCGUUAUUUUUUGAUUAGUUUGUUCAUGAGGUCUAUUAUACAUAGUGAUGGAAGGAGAUU